UUUCCGUAGGUGAACCUGCGGAAGGAUCAUUACUGAGUGAGGGCCCUCUGGGUCCAACCUCCCACCCGUGUUUAUUGUACCUUGUUGCUUCGGUGCGCCCGCCUCACGGCCGCCGGGGGGCUUCUGCCCCCGGGUCCGCGCGCACCGGAGACACCAUUGAACUCUGUCUGAAGAUUGCAGUCUGAGCAUAAACUAAAUAAGUUAAAACUUUCAACAACGGAUCUCUUGGUUCCG
This 234-nucleotide unclassified non-coding RNA is filed under the name Penicillium spinulosum. RNAcentral describes it as "partial contains small subunit ribosomal RNA, internal transcribed spacer 1, and 5.8S ribosomal RNA". RNAcentral also lists the same sequence under 1 other name. Lineage: Eukaryota; Fungi; Ascomycota; Eurotiomycetes; Eurotiales; Aspergillaceae. The record is from RNAcentral.